GAUGAACGCUGGCGGCGUGCCUAAUACAUGCAAGUCGAGCGAACGGACGAGAAGCUUGCUUCUCUGAUGUUAGCGGCGGACGGGUGAGUAACACGUGGAUAACCUACCUAUAAGACUGGGAUAACUUCGGGAAACCGGAGCUAAUACCGGAUAAUAUUUUGAACCGCAUGGUUCAAAAGUGAAAGACGGUCUUGCUGUCACUUAUAGAUGGAUCCGCGCUGCAUUAGCUAGUUGGUAAGGUAACGGCUUACCAAGGCAACGAUGCUUAGCCGACCUGAGAGGGUGAUCGGCCACACUGGAACUGAGACACGGUCCAGAAUCCUACGGGAGGCAGCAGUAGGGAAUCUGCCGCAAUGGGCGAAAGCCUGACGGAGCAACGCCGCGUGAGUGAUGAAGGUCUUCGGAUCGUAAAACGCUGUUAUUAGGGAAGAACAUAUGUGUAAGUAACUGUGCACAUCUUGGCGGUACCGAAGCAGAAAGCCACGGCUAACUACGU
This 496-nucleotide ribosomal RNA is filed under the name uncultured bacterium. RNAcentral's name for it is "partial 16S ribosomal RNA". It matches the Rfam family "Bacterial small subunit ribosomal RNA", at positions 28 to 506 of the family's 1533-position model. The record is from RNAcentral.